This 432-nucleotide ribosomal RNA is filed under the name uncultured bacterium. Its description in RNAcentral is "partial 16S ribosomal RNA". It matches the Rfam family "Bacterial small subunit ribosomal RNA", at positions 29 to 507 of the family's 1533-position model. The record is from RNAcentral.
AACGAACGCUGGCGGCAUGCCUAACACAUGCAAGUCGAACGAGACCUUCGGGUCUAGUGGCGCACGGGUGCGUAACGCGUGGGAACCUGCCCUUAGGUUCGGAAUAACUCCCCGAAAGGGGUGCUAAUACCGGAUAAUGUCUUCGGACCAAAGAUUUAUCGCCUUUGGAUGGGCCCGCGUUGGAUUAGCUAGUUGGUAGGGUAAAGCCUACCAAGGCGACGAUCCAUAGCUGGUCUGAGAGGAUGAUCAGCCACACUGGGACUGAGACACGGCCCAGACUCCUACGGGAUGCAGCAGUGGGGAAUAUUGGACAAUGGGCGAAAGCCUGAUCCAGCAAUGCCGCGUGAGUGAUGAAGGCCUUAGGGUUGUAAAGCUCUUUUACCCGGGAUGAUAAUGACAGUACCGGGAGAAUAAGCUCCGGCUAACUCCGUG